This is a long non-coding RNA of Anguilla anguilla (European eel), 1130 nucleotides long. RefSeq lists it as uncharacterized. The transcript is spliced from 4 exons. Lineage: Eukaryota; Metazoa; Chordata; Actinopteri; Anguilliformes; Anguillidae. The record is from RefSeq and is a predicted model, not a curated record.
CAGGACUUCAGAAACUUCUGCAAAUAUCGAAAACAUCCCUCAUCGCUCACAGAAGCUGUCCGGGGCUAAUCUGAGUUACUAACUUACACUAAAGACUGAAAUAAUGCCCAAAACUGCAGACGGUAAAGGAUCCCUUUCAGUCUGCCUGCUCGCCCUGUUCAAGAGAACCCGUUUCCCCAAACCAUCUCCCAGUGAGCUGAACUCUCUGGUUUUCUACCAUGCAGGGACUUUUGCUGUGAGAAGUUCAUCAAACAACGUACUUGAAGAGCACAAAAGCUCUUGGACUUGUUUUCAGGUGACAGGUUGCACAGGUACAGUGGACUAUCUACUUGGAUUGUGACUGACCAAGCGAUCAUCAAGUGGCAUUUGGCUGGUAUGCAUCCACCAUGUGGAAUUCUGGGAUUGUUAGUCUUUUAAGGAGUUGGAAAACCUGUUGGGCGACAGGUCACAGAGGAGGAGGCCGCGUUUCCCCGUCUUUAGCGCCUCAGAGAGCUGGAUCCGACCCACAAAAUCGUCCGGGGGACCUGGGGAAUCAGCCUGCUCUCUGGUGCCCUGGGGGACCCCAACUGUACACAGAGAACGUGUUGGUCCUACAGUACUCCCACCUGCAGCUGGAGAAAGAACCGGAAAGGGAGCCACGAGGUGAGCAGAGGGACAUCCUUCAUCACGUUUGUCCCCUGGGCGAAAGAGUUCAGCCUCGAUGGCCGGAACGCCACGUGGCCAGUGACCCUUCUCUCCAUCCUGGCCCUUACUAACGGACUAACAGACUUUUCACGUGUUUCACUUCACGGAUGUGCACAUGCAUUUACAAUAGAAUGUACAUUUAAAGAAGUAUAUAAAACAGAGGCAAAAAAAACCCCACUCAAUACUAAAGGCAAAACUCACUGUCAGACUGUACUGUGAGUUGGAAAAAAUACAAUAAAAACACAAUUAUAUCCAUGAUGAAAUAAAUGAUCCUAAUUAAAAUCAGAAGGAAUAAAUUAUGUGUUUGAAAUGUCAGCCAGUGCUGUAAAUCUGAAUCUCAGAAUGUCGUGGCCUCCUGCCAAUACAAAAAUGGAAUAUACAGUAAUAUAUUGCAAAUAUGUGGACUGAUAUGUAAUAUAUAAUGAAAAUAUAUCAUGAUGAAUACA